This 1347-nucleotide ribosomal RNA is filed under the name uncultured marine bacterium. RNAcentral's name for it is "bacterial SSU rRNA". It matches the Rfam family "Bacterial small subunit ribosomal RNA". The record is from RNAcentral.
CAUGCAAGUCGAACGAAGUAGCAAUACUUAGUGGCAGACGGGUGAGUAACAUGUAGGUAUCUACCCUUUGGCCUGGAAUAACACGAGGAAACUUGUGCUAAUACUGGAUAAGUCUUUACGGAGAAAGCUUUAUGCACCAUUGGAUGAGCCUGCACUUGAUUAGUUUGUUGGUAGGGUAAUGGCCUACCAAGACUUUGAUCAAUAGCUGAUUUGAGAGGAUGAUCAGCCACAUUGGGACUGAGACACGGCCCAAACUCCUACGGGAGGCAGCAGUGGGGAAUCUUGCACAAUGGAGGAAACUCUGAUGCAGCGAUGCCGCGUGAGUGAAGAAGGCCCUUGGGUUGUAAAGCUCUUUCGUCGGGGAAGAAAAUGACUGUACCCGAAUAAGAAGGUCCGGCUAACUUCGUGCCAGCAGCCGCGGUAAUACGAAGGGACCUAGCGUAGUUCGGAAUUACUGGGCUUAAAGAGUUCGUAGGUGGUUGAAAAAGUUGGUGGUGAAAUCCCAGAGCUUAACUCUGGAACUGCCAUCAAAACUUUUCAGCUAGAGUUUGAUAGAGGAAAGCAGAAUUUCUAGUGUAGAGGUGAAAUUCGUAGAUAUUAGAAAGAAUACCAAUUGCGAAGGCAGCUUUCUGGAUCAUUACUGACACUGAGGAACGAAAGCAUGGGUAGCGAAGAGGAUUAGAUACCCUCGUAGUCCAUGCCGUAAACGAUGUGUGUUAGACGUUGGAAAUUUAUUUUCAGUGUCGCAGCGAAAGCGAUAAACACACCGCCUGGGGAGUACGACCGCAAGGUUAAAACUCAAAUGAAUUGACGGGGACCCGCACAAGUAGUGGAGCAUGUGGUUUAAUUCGAAGAUACGCGCAGAACCUUACCAACACUUGACAUGUUCGUCGCGACUUUAAGAGAUUAAAGUUUUCGGUUCGGCCGGACGAAACACAGGUGCUGCAUGGUUGUCGUCAGCUCGUGUCGUGAGAUGUUGGGUUAAGUCCCGCAACGAGCGCAACCCUCACUUUUAGUUGCCAUCAUUAAGUUGGGCACUCUGAAAGAACUGCCAGUGAUAAGCUGGAGGAAGGUGGGGAUGACGUCAAGUCCUCAUGGCCCUUACGUGUUGGGCUACACACGUGCUACAAUGGUAUCUACAACAGGAAGCAAAACGGCGACGUUAAGCAAAUCCUUAAAAGAUACCUCAGUUCGGAUUGCACUCUGCAACUCGAGUGCAUGAAGCUGGAAUUACUAGUAAUCGUGGAACAGCGUGCCACGGUGAAUGCGUUCCCGGGUCUUGUACACACCGCCCGUCACACCAUGGGAGUUGGUUCUACCUUAAGGCAAGGUUUAAUACCCUGACCA